This 491-nucleotide ribosomal RNA is filed under the name uncultured bacterium. RNAcentral's name for it is "partial 16S ribosomal RNA". It matches the Rfam family "Bacterial small subunit ribosomal RNA", at positions 29 to 507 of the family's 1533-position model. The record is from RNAcentral.
GUGCACGCUGGCGGUAGGCCUAACACCUGCAAGUCGCACGGCAGCACAGUAAGAGCUUGCUCUUACGGGUGGCGAGUGGCGGACGGGUGAGGAAUACAUCGGAAUCUACUUUUUCGUGGGGGAUAACGUAGGGAAACUUACGCUAAUACCGCAUACGACCUACGGGUGAAAGCAGGGGAUCUUCGGACCUUGCGCGAUUGAAUGAGCCGAUGUCGGAUUAGCUAGUUGGCGGGGUAAAGGCCCACCAAGGCGACGAUCCGUAGCUGGUCUGAGAGGAUGAUCAGCCACACUGGAACUGAGGCACGGUCCAGACUCCUACGGGAGGCAGCAGUGGGGAAUAUUGGACAAUGGGCGCAAGCCUGAUCCAGCCAUACCGCGUGGGUGAAGAAGGCCUUCGGGUUGUAAAGCCCUUUUGUUGGGAAAGAAAAGCAGCAGGUUAAUACCCCGCUGUUCUGACGGUACCCAAAGAAUAAGCACCGGCUAACUUCGUG